Molecule: ribosomal RNA, 463 nt
Filed under: uncultured bacterium
Lineage: Bacteria
Description: partial 16S ribosomal RNA
Rfam family: Bacterial small subunit ribosomal RNA
Source: RNAcentral
GACGAACGCUGGCGGCAUGCUUAACACAUGCAAGUCGAACGCAUGGUAUGUGCUUGCACAUACUGAUGAGUGGCAGACGGGUGAGUAACACGUGGGAACUUACCCUUUAGACUGGGACAACCAUUGGAAACGGUGGCUAAUACCGGAUAAGCCCUGAGGGGGAAAGCCGAAAGGCGCUAAAGGAGAGGCCCGCGGCAGAUUAGGUAGUUGGUGGGGUAAAGGCCUACCAAGCCGAUGAUCUGUAGCUGGUUUGAGAGGAUGAUCAGCCACACUGGGACUGAGGCACGGCCCAGACUCCUACGGGAGGCAGCAGUGGGGAAUAUUGGACAAUGGGGGGAACCCUGAUCCAGCCAUGCCGCGUGUGUGAAGAAGGCCUUAUGGUUGUAAAGCACUUUAAGCGAGGAGGAGGCUCUUUUGGUUAAUACCCAAGAUGAGUGGACGUUACUCGCAGAAUAAGCACCGG